AUGAGCAUGGCCGCAUCACGGCAGAUCUCCACGGCCGAGCUGCGGCUCUGCAUCAAGGAGGCGCUGGGCGGCGACAUGUCGACCGAGGAGGUGCAGGCCCUGAUGGCCUCCGCAGAUACCGAUGGCGACGGGCUGCUGGACGAGGAGGGGUUCCUGAGGCUGGUGCGGGAGGCUGAGGCCGGCCACGAGGAAGAGGAAAACAGGUGCAGGGAGGCGUUCGGGGUGUACGAGAUGGAAGGGAGGGGCUGCAUCACCCCGCUCAGCCUCAAGCUGAUGAUGAGCAGGCUAGGCCUGCACCUGGAAGUCGACGUCUCGACGAGUGUCAGGUUAUGA
This 333-nucleotide ribosomal RNA is filed under the name Triticum aestivum (bread wheat). RNAcentral describes it as "partial small subunit ribosomal RNA". The record is from RNAcentral. Lineage: Eukaryota; Viridiplantae; Streptophyta; Magnoliopsida; Poales; Poaceae.